UGGGGAAUAUUGGACAAUGGGUGAAAGCCUGAUCCAGCCAUGCCGCGUGUGUGAAGAAGGUCUUCGGAUUGUAAAGCACUUUAAGUUGGGAGGAAGGGCAUUAACCUAAUACGUUAGUGUUUUGACGUUACCGACAGAAUAAGCACCGGCUAACUCUGUGCCAGCAGCCGCGGUAAUACAGAGGGUGCAAGCGUUAAUCGGAAUUACUGGGCGUAAAGCGCGCGUAGGUGGUUUGUUAAGUUGGAUGUGAAAUCCCCGGGCUCAACCUGGGAACUGCAUUCAAAACUGACUGACUAGAGUAUGGUAGAGGGUGGUGGAAUUUCCUGUGUAGCGGUGAAAUGCGUAGAUAUAGGAAGGAACACCAGUGGCGAAGGCGACCACCUGGACUAAUACUGACACUGAGGUGCGAAAGCGUGGGGAGCAAACA
This 427-nucleotide ribosomal RNA is filed under the name uncultured bacterium. RNAcentral describes it as "partial 16S ribosomal RNA". It matches the Rfam family "Bacterial small subunit ribosomal RNA", at positions 355 to 774 of the family's 1533-position model. The record is from RNAcentral.